UGUAUUCACUACUGUAAGUCGCUCUGAAUAAGAGCGUCUGCUAAAUGACUAAAA
Molecule: non-coding RNA, 54 nt
Organism: Salmo salar (Atlantic salmon)
Lineage: Eukaryota; Metazoa; Chordata; Actinopteri; Salmoniformes; Salmonidae
Source: Rfam